Molecule: long non-coding RNA, 2482 nt
Organism: Balaenoptera ricei (Rice's whale)
Lineage: Eukaryota; Metazoa; Chordata; Mammalia; Artiodactyla; Balaenopteridae
Exons: 7
Source: RefSeq, a predicted model, not a curated record
GCGGGCUGCACAGGCCCCCGGGAGGGGCGGUGUGGAGAGUGACCUGUGCUUGCACACAGGCUUCUUGGUGGCGGCAGCAGCAGCCUUAGCGUCCCACGCCCGUCUCUGGGGUCCGCAUUGUUAGCCGCGGCUCGCGCCUGUCUCUGGAGCUUGUUUAGGCGGCGCUCUUAAUCCCCUCUCCUCACACACCAGGAAACAAAGAGGCAAGAAAAAGUCUGUUGCCUCUUCGGCAGCUGCAGACUUUUUCCCGGACUCCCUCCCGGCUAGCUGUGGUGCGCUAACCCCUUCAGGCUGUGUUCACGCCGCCAACCCCAGUCCUCUCCCUGGGAUCCGACCGAAGCCCGAGCCUCAGCUCCCAGCCCCGCCCGCCCCGGCGGGGGAGCAGACAAGCCUCUCGGGCUGAUUUAUGGGAUGCCUGGGGCAGCUCUUCUUCAGGCUGUGGCGACCAGGAUGGUUUCCUAUUAUGUAUCUCUCAUCCUUCUGAUAUGACCACAGCACCACUUGAGCAUCAAGUCUUUGAUUUUGCUACUAGCAAAAUGGUCUGGAUUAUCAUACCUAAAACUGUGUAGCUAAAGCCGAGAUACUGCUGGCAAGGCAAACUAUGGUCAUCCAGGGAUUUUUGCCUUAUUUCAGUCAUUAAGGCUUUCUUCCUAAGCUCACUGGGAAAGGAUGUUUUCUCCUCAGAAGCUAAAGAAAUUUGUCUAAUUCUCCAGCAAGAGUUUAAGAAAGGUUUAAUGCUGUAACUCUAGGUCAUACCACAAGAACUUGGUCCCAAAUGUGUACAGAAGGAUAUGUGCUCAAUAUCAGAGAAGUAGAGAACUAGUGUAACUUCUGGAUCUCUGCACAUUUGGUACGCUGAUGUAAGUCUGAGAUGUGCUAACAGACAAUGGUUACUCCAUCAGCCUGGAUUCCAGAGAGAGAAGACAUGGAGCAAAACCUCUGGACAACAUGUACAGGACAUGCAGUGUGAGAUUAAAUACAUACAUACAUACAUACAUACAUACUUAUUAUGAGGUGCCCAGAUUUUGGAAUCAUUAGCAUGCCCUAACAUAUAUAUCCUGCCUGAUAUACACCAAUGUAGAGAGGGCGGUAUUUCAGAAUAAAUUUUCCCAGAGCAAUGUUUAUUGUUUAAGCCUCCCCCACCUCCAAAAAAAAAUUAACUAGCCCCAGGAGGGGCAGUCUUUUCCCAGCCAGAAAGGUUUCUUAAGAUGUCAAAACAUCAUAAUAUAUAGAAAAUUAAACAUAUAUACAAUGCACAGUGGAUAAACCAAUCUCAAUGCCAAGGAGGCAGGGAUGCAUAUACAUUCUGCAGGAGGCCCUGAAAAUUAUACAGCAUUAGGUGUGAGAGGGUAUAACCCACAUGCUGAGAAGGGGAGCAAAUAUGUGGGAACAAGACAUAAUCUAUCUCCAGAGAUACAGACAAACUUCUCUGAUGAUAAUUUGACCUUAGAUAUCAAGACUUUCACUCCCAGCAUUUCAUCUUGAUUAGAACUUAAGAAUAUAAUACAAUAACCUUUAAAAAGUUACCACAAGGACAUUCAUCACAGCGUGGCUUAUAAAAGCACCACACUGGAUAUCUUCUCAAUAUCCCAUGGAAUUGUUGGGAAUUAUUGAAAUAAGUUACAGCACCCCCAUGUAUUAAAAUAUUAUAAUGCCAUUAAAAUCACAGUGUGAAAUUCCGUUUAUGAAAUAAGUAAAGUGAGUUGAGACUCUCAGUAUGUUUUGUGAAGUGACACACUUGAGUGAAUCAAUGUACCCAUUAUACUACCUGUGAUUAUUUCUGGUUAUUUGAAUAAUGGACAACUUUUUCUUGGAACCAGUUUGCAUUUUUCUAAUUAGUUUACAGGUAACAGACAUUACAGGUAAUUAAAAAUUAUUUUUAAAAAAAUGGAGGCAGGCAAGCCCAUAAUUUUCAGUAGCUAGUGUCCACACAGGACAUAACAUUUUGUCUCUGUGUUCAAAUCUGAGGAAAGACAAGUUAAAAACAGUUAUCAAAGCUGGGUACUCUGAAUAACCUCUUCUACUGCUUUGUCAAGUGGAGUAUUUUUAGACAUUUCAGACACACACACUGUGCACCAUUCACUUGCUCUCUGUCAGAGCCUUCUGUGUCCUAUAAUUUUACACUCUAAAAAUAGUGGUGAAAUAUUGAUUUCCUCUCUAACUUCUGCCCAGACUUUAGUUGGAUGCCUGGUAAGGUUUCCAUUCUGAGAAGAUCAGUACUUGACCCUGCACUUUGUUCUUUAGUGAAGAAGCACAUUGCAUCUUCAUACUCUCACCUCCGGCUGUCUAUGUCUUUUUCUUGGCAUUUGUGUUGUUAUAGUACAUUCAAAGGAGGAUCAUUAUUUUACUUUAAACCCAGCCAAUGAUAAAGUAUCCAAAGUGUGUACAGGUUUUCCAAGAAGGCAAACACCUAUCCCCAACAAGGCAGUAGCUAUAUUGGUUAUUUGUUUAUUUAUUCAUAAAUAAAUUGCCAUGGAUUAAA